RNAcentral lists this ribosomal RNA (250 nucleotides) under uncultured bacterium. Its description in RNAcentral is "partial 16S ribosomal RNA". It matches the Rfam family "Bacterial small subunit ribosomal RNA", at positions 524 to 773 of the family's 1533-position model. The record is from RNAcentral.
GACAGAGGGUGCAAACGUUGUUCGGAAUUACUGGGCGUAAAGCGUGUGUAGGCGGUUAGGAAAGUCGGAUGUGAAAGCCCCGGGCUCAACCCGGGAAGUGCACUCGAUACUACCUAACUAGAGUAUCGGAGAGGUUGGUGGAAUUCUCGGUGUAGAGGUGAAAUUCGUAGAUAUCGAGAGGAACACCGGUGGCGAAGGCGGCCAACUGGACGAAUACUGACGCUGAGACACGAAAGCGUGGGGAGCAAAC